AGUUCACCUCAACCAGCCCGCGGUGGAGGAGGGACGCUCUCUGCUCGCUCCUCACGAACCUUCCCUCGCGUGCGUGUGGUAAAAGAUUGAUGACCGCGUGGAGAAUUGCAAUUGACGAAAGAUAAGCAACGUUAAUAGAUAAAGCAGGUGUGU
Non-coding RNA from Procambarus clarkii (red swamp crayfish), 153 nucleotides. The record is from RefSeq and is a predicted model, not a curated record. NCBI's taxonomy places the organism in Eukaryota, Metazoa, Arthropoda, Malacostraca, Decapoda, Cambaridae.